RNAcentral lists this non-coding RNA (25 nucleotides) under Mus musculus (house mouse). The record is from RNAcentral. Lineage: Eukaryota; Metazoa; Chordata; Mammalia; Rodentia; Muridae.
UAAAUCAAUGGAGUCUUAUUGCUGG